This 253-nucleotide ribosomal RNA is filed under the name uncultured bacterium. RNAcentral describes it as "partial 16S ribosomal RNA". It matches the Rfam family "Bacterial small subunit ribosomal RNA", at positions 524 to 776 of the family's 1533-position model. The record is from RNAcentral.
UACGUAGGUGGCGAGCGUUAUCCGGAUUUACUGGGUGUAAAGGGUGAGUAGGCGGGAAGUCAAGUCAGAUGUGAAAUGCCGCGGCUUAACUGCGGAACUGCAUUUGAAACUGAUUUUCUUGAGAGUCGGAGAGGCAAUCGGAAUUCCUAGUGUAGCGGUGAAAUGCGUAGAUAUUAGGAGGAACACCAGUGGCGAAGGCGGAUUGCUGGACGAUAACUGACGCUGAGACACGAAAGCGUGGGGAGCAAACAGG